This 72-nucleotide transfer RNA is filed under the name Metschnikowia torresii. RNAcentral's name for it is "[Candida] torresii tRNA-Arg". It matches the Rfam family "tRNA". Rfam says of the family: Transfer RNA (tRNA) molecules are approximately 80 nucleotides in length. Their secondary structure includes four short double-helical elements and three loops (D, anti-codon, and T loops). Lineage: Eukaryota; Fungi; Ascomycota; Pichiomycetes; Serinales; Metschnikowiaceae. The record is from RNAcentral.
UGGCAUAUAGUAUAAUGGUUAAUGCAUAAUAUUACGAAUGUUAAAAUGUAAGUUCGAUUCUUACUAUGCCAU